This 29-nucleotide non-coding RNA is filed under the name Mus musculus (house mouse). The record is from RNAcentral. Lineage: Eukaryota; Metazoa; Chordata; Mammalia; Rodentia; Muridae.
GUCAUGGGUUCUUUCCUUUGUUUGAGAGC